UUGCAAGGUCAAGUGAAGAAGGGCGCACGGUGAAUGCCUUGGCACUGGAAGCCGAUGAAGGACGCGACUAACCGCGAAAGUCUUCGGGGAGCCGUAAGUAGGCUUUGAUCCGGAGGUCUCCGAAUGGGGGAACCCAGCAUGUGCAGACAUGCUAUCCUUAAGUGAAUACAUAGCUUAAGGAGGGAACACGCAGUGAACUGAAACAUCUAAGUAGCUGCAGGAAGAGAAAGAAAUAUCGAUUUCCCAAGUAGCGGCGAGCGAACAGGAAAGAGCCCAAACCGGCAGAUUUAUCUGCCGGGGUUGUAGGACUGAGACAUGGCUGAGUAGGGCGGGACACGUGAAAUCCCGUUUGAAUCCGCGAGGACCAUCUCGCAAGGCUAAAUACUAACCAGUGACCGAUAGUGAACCAGUACCGUGAGGGAAAGGUGAAAAGAACCCCGGGAGGGGAGUGAAAGAGAACCUGAAACCGUGUGCCUACAAGUAGUCAGAGCCCGUUAACGGGUAAUGGCGUGCCUUUUGUAGAAUGAACCGGCGAGUUGCGUUAGUCAGCAAGGUUAAGUCAGAAAAGACGGAGCCGUAGCGAAAGCGAGUCUGAAGAGGGCGAGCAGUUGGCUGACGCAGACCCGAAACCAAGUGACCUACCCAUGACCAGGUUGAAGGCGCGGUAAAACGCGCUGGAGGACCGAACCCACGUAAGUUGAAAAUUGCGGGGAUGAGUUGUGGGUAGCGGUGAAAUUCCAAACGAACUUGGAGAUAGCUGGUUCUCUCCGAAAUAGCUUUAGGGCUAGCCUCGCAAAGAGGAUGCUGGAGGUAGAGCUCUGUUUGGACUAGGGGCCCGUCAAGGGUUACUGAAUUCAGAUAAACUGCGAAUUCCAGACAUUUAUGUGCGGGAGUCAGACUGCGAGUGAUAAGAUCCGUAGUCGAAAGGGAAACAGCCCAGAUCACCAGUUAAGGUCCCAAAAUUCAUGCUAAGUGGAAAAGGAUGUGGAGUUGCGCAGACAACUAGGACGUUGGCUCAGAAGCAGCCAUCAUUCAAAGAGUGCGUAAUAGCUCACUAGUCGAGUGACGCCGCGCCGAAAAUUUACCGGGGCUAAGCAUGAUACCGAAACUGUGGAUGUGCAUUUAUG
Molecule: ribosomal RNA, 1127 nt
Filed under: Lactobacillus delbrueckii subsp. bulgaricus
Lineage: Bacteria; Bacillati; Bacillota; Bacilli; Lactobacillales; Lactobacillaceae
Description: partial 23S ribosomal RNA
Rfam family: Bacterial large subunit ribosomal RNA
Source: RNAcentral